CGGACGCUGCAAGGUGCGUCAGACUUUUACAUCCCUGGGGCCAUAAUUUUCUCUAGGGAGCUGUCCCUGCCGGGCUCCUGGGCUCGGUAUAUGGCGCCCACCUGCAACUGCAGGCCACAGAGGAUACACAGUCAACGGUCGCUGCGGCUCCGU
This 153-nucleotide non-coding RNA is filed under the name Rhodospirillales bacterium. RNAcentral's name for it is "6S RNA". It matches the Rfam family "6S / SsrS RNA". Rfam says of the family: E. coli 6S RNA was the first non coding RNA to be sequenced, but its function was unknown until recently. It consists of 184 nucleotides that fold into an extended hairpin structure with a large single-stranded internal bulge. The 6S RNA specifically associates with RNA polymerase holoenzyme containing the sigma70 specificity factor. Lineage: Bacteria; Pseudomonadati; Pseudomonadota; Alphaproteobacteria; Rhodospirillales. The record is from RNAcentral.